This 77-nucleotide ribosomal RNA is filed under the name Vulpes vulpes (red fox). Lineage: Eukaryota; Metazoa; Chordata; Mammalia; Carnivora; Canidae. The record is from RNAcentral.
GUCUACCAGCAUACCACCCUGAAUACGCCUGAUCUUAUCUGAUCUCAGAAGGUAAACAGGGUCAGGCCUGGUUGGUU